GAUGAACGCUGGCGGCGUGCUUAACACAUGCAAGUCGAACGGAAAGGCCCUGCUUUUGUGGGGUGCUCGAGUGGCGAACGGGUGAGUAACACGUGAGUAACCUGCCCUUGACUUUGGGAUAACUUCAGGAAACUGGGGCUAAUACCGGAUAGGAGCUCCUGCUGCAUGGUGGGGGUUGGAAAGUUUCGGCGGUUGGGGAUGGACUCGCGGCUUAUCAGCUUGUUGGUGGGGUAGUGGCUUACCAAGGCUUUGACGGGUAGCCGGCCUGAGAGGGUGACCGGCCACAUUGGGACUGAGAUACGGCCCAGACUCCUACGGGAGGCAGCAGUGGGGAAUAUUGCACAAUGGGCGGAAGCCUGAUGCAGCAACGCCGCGUGCGGGAUGACGGCCUUCGGGUUGUAAACCGCUUUCGCCUGUGACGAAGCGUGAGUGACGGUAAUGGGUAAAGAAGCACCGACUAACUACGUG
This 468-nucleotide ribosomal RNA is filed under the name uncultured bacterium. RNAcentral describes it as "partial 16S ribosomal RNA". It matches the Rfam family "Bacterial small subunit ribosomal RNA", at positions 28 to 507 of the family's 1533-position model. The record is from RNAcentral.